Molecule: ribosomal RNA, 247 nt
Filed under: uncultured archaeon
Lineage: Archaea
Description: partial 16S ribosomal RNA
Rfam family: Archaeal small subunit ribosomal RNA
Source: RNAcentral
CCGACGGUGAGGGACGAAAGCUGGGGGAGCAAACCGGAUUAGAUACCCGGGUAGUCCCAGCUGUAAACGAUGCGCGUUAGGUGUGUCAGUGACCACGUGUCACUGAUGUGCCGAAGGGAAACCGUGAAACGCGCCGCCUGGGGAGUACGGUCGCAAGGCUGAAACUUAAAGGAAUUGGCGGGGGGGCACCACAACGGGUGGAGCCUGCGGUUUAAUCGGACUCAACGCCGGAAAUCUCACCGGAUAA